UAGACUUUCUAAGAUAACAAUACGAAUACUAAAAAUCUGGACUAAAAUAAGGCGUAUAGGUACAGGUUUCAAUUUGUUAGCGGGCAUGACGUUAAACAGCGAAUCAAAGAAUUCAACUUUAUUUAUAACUAAUAUAGGACCAUGCUGUUGAUUAAAAAGUACUCCAUUCCAGGACCUUUUGUGUUCCAAAUAAUUAAUAUUAUCAAUAAUUGAUAAGUUCCAGUUCGACGGGUUCAACUUGACAGAAAGAUUUGACAGCAGAGAAAACUGUGUAUCUUAUAAUCGGCAUGACUUUAUCAGAUGACAAUACUAAUACUAAAAUAAGGCUUGCGCAUAGUUAUAUACUUUAAUUCAGUCACAGACCCGCGAUAUCACGGGUGUGUUCUAGU
This 389-nucleotide long non-coding RNA is filed under the name Mytilus galloprovincialis (Mediterranean mussel). The record is from RNAcentral. Lineage: Eukaryota; Metazoa; Mollusca; Bivalvia; Mytilida; Mytilidae.